RNAcentral lists this ribosomal RNA (490 nucleotides) under uncultured bacterium. RNAcentral's name for it is "partial 16S ribosomal RNA". It matches the Rfam family "Bacterial small subunit ribosomal RNA", at positions 30 to 507 of the family's 1533-position model. The record is from RNAcentral.
AUUGAACGCUGGCGGCAGGCCUAACACAUGCAAGUCGAACGGUAACAGGAAGCAGCUUGCUGCUUUGCUGACGAGUGGCGGACGGGUGAGUAAUGUCUGGGAAACUGCCCGAUGGAGGGGGAUACCUACUGGAAACGGUAGCUAAUACCGCAUAACGUCGCAAGACCAAAGAGGGGGACCUUAGGGCCUCUUGCCAUCGGAUGUGCCCUGAUGGGAUUAGCUAGUAGGUGGGGUAACGGCUCACCUAGGCGACGAUCCCUAGCUGGUCUGAGAGGAUGACCAGCCACACUGGAACUGAGACACGGUCCAGACUCCUACGGGAGGCAGCAGUGGGGAAUAUUGCACAAUGGGCGCAAGCCUGAUGCAGCCAUGCCGCGUGUAUGAAGAAGGCCUUCGGGUUGUAAAGUACUUUCAGCGGGGAGGAAGGGAGUAAAGUUAAUACCUUUGCUCAUUGACGUUACCCGAAGAAGAAGCACCGGCUAACUCCGUG